GUUUGGCUCCUUUUCAAGGUUGCACCAUGUCUGUCUGAGGGGAACGGGACACGGGGACAAUCAGUGGGAUGUGAGGACCAUCAUUAUUUAGCGGAGGACUGGAAAUCAAGUCAAGGACGUGUCAGCAAACCGAGGGAUUGAGCGAGGAGGCGACCUGGGAGGAGGAGGAGGCGAAUCGGUCCAAAGGGUGACAGAGCAGUCUGAGAAAAGGACGCGACAGCAAGAGCAAGACGGUCAAAGGAGUGGCAGAAUGCCGGGGAGGAGAGGACUGGGACGGGAUCGGACGGGACGCGGAGGACAGGAGUCAUCGCUAUGGUAACGGAGAGCGGUGGCGAGGGCCGAGCGGCGCUGACUCACUGUGAUGCGCUUUCAGUGAGACAUGGAAUGUCACGGUGCACCCCGGGGAGAGGGUCAUCACUCCAAGCGCACCGCAGUCCCUGAGUCCGUAAGGGAGCGGAUGUGGAUUGGAAUCAGGACUGGGAUUAAGACGGGCGUUGGGGAUCAGGAUUGGGACUCGGAUCGGGACAAUGUCGUCCUGAGAGCCACCAUCUUGCCAAAGGACCAGUGGCUGUCACCAGAGGCUCGGUCUGAGACACUGUUGCCGUGGUAACAACUUUUCCGAUUUGAUGACAGGCAUGAAAGGCAUGUUAAGAGAUUGAAUGUUUCUGCAAGGGCGCACACACACACACAC
Molecule: long non-coding RNA, 691 nt
Organism: Gasterosteus aculeatus aculeatus (three-spined stickleback)
Lineage: Eukaryota; Metazoa; Chordata; Actinopteri; Perciformes; Gasterosteidae
Source: Ensembl